UGGAAUCUGGAGUCUCGCUUGCCCGCCUACUCACGUCCGAAGGGUGUCGGUAUACUCUGGUUUCUCUUCAGAUCGCAUAAAUCUUUCGCCUUUUACUAAAGAUUUCCGUGGAGAGGAACAAUUAUGAGUUCGUAACCAAUUUUUUGAGGCUCUGCUUCGGCAGGGCUCCCCAUCGCGUUAUAAAAAAAGAUUUCAAUUAAUGAAGAAGAAGCUAGAAUCCAAUUGGAGCCGAAGGACCCUCAGAGCGCCCGGACCAGACGUGGCCCACCUGAAAGAGAAAACGGUACAAAGGAGGGAAAGGCCAGGCCCUUCAUGGAGGUUAUAUUUGGAAAGAAGAAUAAUAAUGAUGGUGUUUGUUAAGCGCUUACUAUGUGCCAAAUACUGUUCUAAGCGCUGGGGGACACACAAGGUGAUCAGGUUGUCCCCCGUGGGGCUCACAGUCUUCAUCCUCAUUAGACAGAUGAGGUCACCGAGGCACAGAGAAGCAAAGUGACUUGCCCACAGUCACACAGCUGACAAGUGGCAGAGCUGGAAGUCGAACUCAUGACCUCUGACUCCGAAGCCCAGGCUCUUUCCACUGAGCCACGCUGCUUCCCUACACCUGACAUGUAGAGGAGGUGAAAUUAGAACUUAUGACUGCUGACUCCCAAGCCCAAGCUUUUUCCAUUGAUCCUUGUUUUAAAAGAAAAAAAGCGCAAUGGAUCUACUAACGCCACUGUAGUGCCUUGUCCCCAGCGUUUAGUAAAAACCCUUGCACAUAGAGAGCGCUAUUAUUAAAAAAAGGAAAUGAAUGAGAGCCUCAUGAAAACACUAUUUAUUAGAGCUGUAACUUUCCAAAAACUGAUUUUUCACGAAGGUGUAAGAAUUAUAAUCUUUUCGUAUAAAAGCAAAGAUUGUUUUCUAUUUUUCAAAACCGGUUUGGGGAGCCUCGUAAAAACGAGGCCUCAAAAAAUUAGUUACAAACUCAUAACUGUUCCUCUCCACGGAAAUCUUUAGUAAAAGGCGAAAGAUUUAUGCGAUCUGAAGAGAAACCAGAGUAUACUUCCCUUUUCCGUGCUUCAGAACCCGGAGGACCAGUAAUCCCCUAUACACUCAUGAUGAUUCCCCUCCUCCCUAAUCAGGACUGGCUUUUUCUCUGAAAAGCCAAGUGGGAAGGCUUCUCCCCAACGUGUGUCUUAAAUAAGAACAGGGAGGGAAAAAUUAGAGGUGUUUUAAAUGUAAAAG
RNAcentral lists this long non-coding RNA (1224 nucleotides) under Ornithorhynchus anatinus (platypus). RNAcentral describes it as "lncRNA (ENSOANG00000046207.1)". The stretch from base 52 to 167 matches the Rfam family "U5 spliceosomal RNA". The record is from RNAcentral. Lineage: Eukaryota; Metazoa; Chordata; Mammalia; Monotremata; Ornithorhynchidae.